RNAcentral lists this ribosomal RNA (332 nucleotides) under uncultured bacterium. RNAcentral describes it as "bacterial SSU rRNA". It matches the Rfam family "Bacterial small subunit ribosomal RNA", at positions 585 to 916 of the family's 1533-position model. The record is from RNAcentral.
AAGUCAGAUGUGAAAUCCCCGGGCUUAACCUGGGAACUGCCUCUGAAACUGUUAGGCUAGAGUAGGUGAGAGGAAAGUAGAAUUUCAGGUGUAGCGGUGAAAUGCGUAGAGAUCUGAAGGAAUACCGAUGGCGAAGGCAGCUUCCUGGCAUCAUACUGACACUGAGGUUCGAAAGCGUGGGUAGCAAACAGGAUUAGAUACCCUGGUAGUCCACGCCGUAAACGAUGUCUACUAGUCGUUGGGUCCCUUGAGGACUUAGUGACGCAGCUAACGCAAUAAGUAGACCGCCUGGGGAGUACGGCCGCAAGGUUAAAACUCAAAUGAAUUGACGG